RNAcentral lists this ribosomal RNA (492 nucleotides) under uncultured bacterium. RNAcentral describes it as "partial 16S ribosomal RNA". It matches the Rfam family "Bacterial small subunit ribosomal RNA", at positions 29 to 507 of the family's 1533-position model. The record is from RNAcentral.
AGUGAACGCUGGCGGUAGGCCUAACACAUGCAAGUCGAACGGCAGCACAGUAAGAGCUUGCUCUUACGGGUGGCGAGUGGCGGACGGGUGAGGAAUACAUCGGAAUCUACUUUUUCGUGGGGGAUAACGUAGGGAAACUUACGCUAAUACCGCACACGACCUACGGGUGAAAGCAGGGGAUCUUCGGACCUUGCGCGAUUGAAUGAGCCGAUGUCGGAUUAGCUAGUUGGCGGGGUAAAGGCCCACCAAGGCGACGAUCCGUAGCUGGUCUGAGAGGAUGAUCAGCCACACUGGAACUGAGACACGGUCCAGACUCCUACGGGAGGCAGCAGUGGGGAAUAUUGGACAAUGGGCGAGAGCCUGAUCCAGCCAUACCGCGUAGGUGAAGAAGGCCUUCGGGUUGUAAAGCCCUUUUGUUGGGAAAGAAAAGCAGCAGGUUAAUACCCCGCUGUUCUGACGGUACCCGAAGAAUAAGCACCGGCUAACUUCGUG